Molecule: unclassified non-coding RNA, 265 nt
Filed under: Auriculariales sp.
Lineage: Eukaryota; Fungi; Basidiomycota; Agaricomycetes; Auriculariales
Description: partial contains 5.8S ribosomal RNA, internal transcribed spacer 2, and large subunit ribosomal RNA
Source: RNAcentral
CGCACCUUGCACCCCACGGCUUUCCGUGGGGUACGCCCGUUCGAGUGUCACGUUAACAUCGAGGAGAGUCUCAGGACUCCUCUCGGACUUGGACGUUGCCGGCGAAAGUCGGCUCGUCUCGAAAUGCAUUAGCUAGAGUGCGCGCAGGCGCGGCGUUGAUAACCUUCACGUCUCCGUCUGAGUGCGAUCUGCUUCCAAUCGCCCUCUCGGGCAAUUUCACACCAAGUUUGACCUCGGAUCGGGUGGGACUACCCGCUGAACUUAA